GAGGGUAUAGCUCAAGUGGUAGAGUACAUGCUUAGCAUGCAUGAGGUCCUGGGUUCAAUCCCCAGUACCUCCU
Molecule: transfer RNA, 73 nt
Filed under: Camelus bactrianus (Bactrian camel)
Lineage: Eukaryota; Metazoa; Chordata; Mammalia; Artiodactyla; Camelidae
Also listed under: 2 other names
Rfam family: tRNA
About the family: Transfer RNA (tRNA) molecules are approximately 80 nucleotides in length.
Source: Rfam by way of RNAcentral